RNAcentral lists this ribosomal RNA (458 nucleotides) under uncultured bacterium. RNAcentral's name for it is "partial 16S ribosomal RNA". It matches the Rfam family "Bacterial small subunit ribosomal RNA", at positions 338 to 795 of the family's 1533-position model. The record is from RNAcentral.
CCUACGGGCGGCAGCAGUGAGGAAUAUUGGUCAAUGGGCGAGAGCCUGAACCAGCCAAGUCGCGUGAGGGAGUACUGCCCUAUGGGUUGUAAACCUCUUUUGUCGGGGAGCAAAAGCCGGACGUGUCAGGCUGUGAGCGUACCCGAAGAAAAAGCAUAGGCUAACUCCGUGCCAGCAGCCGCGGUAAUACGGAGGAUGCGAGCGUUAUCCGGUUUUAUUGGGGUUAUGGGGUGCGCAGGCGGAUUUUUAAGUCAGCGGUCAAAUCGUGGGGCUCAACCCCAUCCAGCCGUUGAAACUGGGGAUCUAGAGUGUGCGAGAGGUAUGCGGAAUGCGUGGUGUAGCGGUGAAAUGCAUAGAUAUCACGCAGAACCGCGGUUGCGAAGGCAGCAUACCGGUGCACAACUGACGCUCAGGCACGAAAGCGUGGGUAUCGAACAGGAUUAGAUACCCUAGUAGUC